UUGUUACUCCCUCCGUCCCAUAUUAAGUGACUUUCUAUUACAUGUAUCUAGAUGUCUUUUAGGCAUAGAUACAUCCAUAUUUGGACAAAUUUUAGUCACUUAAUAUGGGACGGAGGGAGUAUAAG
Brachypodium distachyon (stiff brome) is the source of this 125-nucleotide non-coding RNA. Lineage: Eukaryota; Viridiplantae; Streptophyta; Magnoliopsida; Poales; Poaceae. The record is from Rfam.